GAUGAAGAACGCAGCGAAAUGCGAUAGGUAGUGUGAAUUGCAGAUGUAACGUGAAUCAUCGAAUCUUUGAACGCAAAUUGCACUCUCUGGUAUUCCGGGGAGUAUGCCUGUUUGAGGGUCGCCAAAUCAACAUCGAAAUUCAUUUGCUUUUGUAAAUGUUUAUCGGAUUUGAGCCGUCUUUUUAUUUUUUUUAAAGUGGCUUAAAAUGUAUUUUUUUGGUAUCGAAAAACGUUAUUUUACGAUCCAAUCGAUCAAAAAACAAACGUUUCGAAUGCCGUCUUUUAAUGUAAUACGUUUGACUGUGUCAUACAAUCAUGGUUUCAUUCGUAUACGAGUUUAAUUUUUGACCUCAAAUCAGGUAAGAACACCCGCUGAACUUAAGCAUAUCAAUAAGCGGAGGA
This 401-nucleotide unclassified non-coding RNA is filed under the name soil metagenome. Its description in RNAcentral is "partial contains 5.8S ribosomal RNA, internal transcribed spacer 2, and large subunit ribosomal RNA". The stretch from base 1 to 121 matches the Rfam family "5.8S ribosomal RNA", at positions 35 to 154 of the family's 154-position model. The record is from RNAcentral.